RNAcentral lists this small RNA (99 nucleotides) under Paenisporosarcina sp. HGH0030. Its description in RNAcentral is "Bacillaceae-1 RNA". It matches the Rfam family "Bacillaceae-1 RNA". The record is from Rfam by way of RNAcentral. Lineage: Bacteria; Bacillati; Bacillota; Bacilli; Caryophanales; Caryophanaceae.
UGAAAAGGAACGAAGGUAAAAAACGCCACGUUCUACUCCUGCGGUUACUCGUCGCAAAAAAAAAUUGUGGCAACACCUUCAUGACCCACUUCAUGCGGG